RNAcentral lists this long non-coding RNA (764 nucleotides) under Capsicum annuum. Its description in RNAcentral is "long non-coding RNA (CANN_LNC012601)". Lineage: Eukaryota; Viridiplantae; Streptophyta; Magnoliopsida; Solanales; Solanaceae. The record is from RNAcentral.
CAUACAUAACACAUGAUCAUUUACUAUUAUUUUUUAGUUUUUAUUUACUUAUAAUAACAACAACAACGAAUCUGACACAUACACUACUAGACAUGGGGCUAACUUGAGCUUAAUAUGAAUAUAAAAGCUUUAUCUUUGAAAUAAACCGCAUGAUCAUCAAAGAAUUGGUAGGAAUAUAAUGACUUAAAUGAGUCUACCACGAGCAAGGGAACCAGGUCCCUUACAGAAUCAGUACAUAAACAAGGAAUAAAUAAAAGUACUGAAGAUAAAGGACACACAAUGUUUACAUGGAAACCUCCUUACUCAAGGAAGGAAAAAUCACGAUCUGUAUCGUAGGAUUUCCACCAAGCCCCAUUAUAUUCGAGCCAAAAGUGUGAUUGCAGACUCCAAUAAUCACAAGGAUUAAACUCUUAAUCCCAUCCACCUUGUAACACCUCUAUUACAAGUGUAGUGCAGCAACUCUACUACAUCGUUUAAAUUAACUAACUCUAGUUGACUCACUAGGUAACUAUACCCCGAAUAACAAAUGUUGUGAUGAAGAAAACAUGACCAAAAAAAAGCGCAAUUGAGUAACUAACUCUAGUUGACGCGACUAAUCUUAAGAGCAUAGAUAGACCAAUACGUACAAUUCUUUAUAGCUCAAAGUAGGUUUAUACAAACGAAAUGAAAGACUCAACCCAUAAAUCAAAAAAAAAACAGAAUAAACUCAAGCAGGUCCCUUCUGAGAGUGAGCAAAAAUAUUGAGGACUUUUGAUUGAGAGAGA